UACGGAGGGUGCAAGCGUUAUUCGGAUUUAUUGGGCGUAAAGGGCGUGUAGGUGGUCUGAUAAGUCAGGUGUGAAAGCCCCUGGCUCAACUAGGGAAGUGCACUUGAAACUAUCAGACUUGAGUACGGGAGGGGGAAGUGGAAUUCCUGGUGUAGAGGUGAAAUUCGUAGAUAUCAGGAGGAAUACCGGUGGCGAAGGCGACUUCCUGGACCGAUACUGACACUGAGACGCGAAAGCGUGGGGAG
This 245-nucleotide ribosomal RNA is filed under the name uncultured bacterium. RNAcentral's name for it is "partial 16S ribosomal RNA". It matches the Rfam family "Bacterial small subunit ribosomal RNA", at positions 524 to 768 of the family's 1533-position model. The record is from RNAcentral.